UGAUAGCUGUGAAGCGUGAGGUUGCUUGCAAUUGCGUAAGUACAUGCCUUUGCAAGGUUUUCCGUGGAGCGAAUGUCAGUGAAUCCGACGACAA
Molecule: non-coding RNA, 94 nt
Filed under: bovine gut metagenome
Description: S10-Clostridia ribosomal protein leader
Rfam family: S10-Clostridia ribosomal protein leader
Source: RNAcentral